GGAUAUUCCCAGUGCAGUGGUGUUUACAACUAAUUGAUCACAACCAGUUACAGAUUCCAGUCCCUUCUCCACUCCCACUGCUUCACUUAACUAGCCUUAA
RNAcentral lists this Y RNA (100 nucleotides) under Microcebus murinus (gray mouse lemur). RNAcentral's name for it is "Y RNA (ENSMICG00000045873.1)". It matches the Rfam family "Y RNA". From Rfam's summary of the family: Y RNAs are components of the Ro ribonucleoprotein particle (Ro RNP), in association with Ro60 and La proteins. The Y RNAs and Ro60 and La proteins are well conserved, but the function of the Ro RNP is not known. In humans the RNA component can be one of four small RNAs -- hY1, hY3, hY4 and hY5. The record is from Rfam by way of RNAcentral. Lineage: Eukaryota; Metazoa; Chordata; Mammalia; Primates; Cheirogaleidae.